CGUCCCUGCUCCUUGCACACACCGCCCGUCGUUUCAUUGAAGUGAGCUCUUAGUGAGGUGACGUCUAAUUGGCGUUAUCGAACUUGGGGUUCGUGACAAGGGAAAAGUCGUAACAAGGUAACCACAACAGGUACGGGCUCUGAGAGGAGUAGCCCGGAGAUGGGUACUGAGACACGGACCCAGGCCCUAUGGGGCGCAGCAGGCGAGAAAACUUUGCAAUGUGCGAAAGCACGACAAGGUUAAUCCGAGUGAUUUGUGCUAAACGAAUCUUUUGUUAGUCCUAGAACCACUAACGAAUAAGGGGUGGGCAAGUUCUGGUGUCAGCCGCCGCGGUAAAACCAGCACCUCAAGUGGUCAGGAUGAUUAUUGGGCCUAAAGCAUCCGUAGCCGGCUCUGUAAGUUUUCGGUUAAAUCUGUACGCUUAACGUACAGGCUGCCGGGAAUACUGCAGAGCUAGGGAGUGGGAGAGGUAGACGGUACUCGGUAGGAAGGGGUAAAAUCCUUUGAUCUAUUGAUGA
RNAcentral lists this ribosomal RNA (518 nucleotides) under uncultured archaeon. RNAcentral describes it as "bacterial SSU rRNA". It matches the Rfam family "Archaeal small subunit ribosomal RNA", at positions 218 to 656 of the family's 1478-position model. The record is from RNAcentral.